Molecule: ribosomal RNA, 253 nt
Filed under: uncultured bacterium
Lineage: Bacteria
Description: partial 16S ribosomal RNA
Rfam family: Bacterial small subunit ribosomal RNA
Source: RNAcentral
GACGGAGGGCGCAAGCGUUGUUCGGAAUCACUGGGCGUAAAGCGUGCGCAGGCGGUUUUGUAAGCCAGAUGUGAAAUCCCCGGGCUUAACCUGGGAAUGGCAUUUGGGACUGCAAGGCUCGAGUGCGGCAGAGGAGACUGGAAUUCCUGGUGUAGCAGUGAAAUGCGUAGAUAUCAGGAGGAACACCGAUGGCGAAGGCAGGUCUCUGGGCUGACACUGACGCUCAUGCACGAAAGCGUGGGGAGCAAACAGG